This is an RNA transcript of Panicum virgatum (switchgrass), 3377 nucleotides long. RefSeq lists it as uncharacterized. NCBI's taxonomy places the organism in Eukaryota, Viridiplantae, Streptophyta, Magnoliopsida, Poales, Poaceae. The transcript is spliced from 6 exons. The record is from RefSeq and is a predicted model, not a curated record.
CGCGGGCGAGCAGGCGGCGUGCGGGCCUAGCAGGCGGGGCGCGGGGCGGGCGAGCAGGCGGGGUUGGCCACGGGGCCCGCGCGGGGCUGCGCCGGCGCGGCAAGCAGGCGGCGGGAGCAGAGGCCGCCGGCGGUAGGCGUUCCGCGCGCUGGAGCAAGCCGCCGGCCGGAGCAGAGGUCCAAGGAUGUAGCCAUGUCAAGCCUAAAUCAGAUUCGGAUAUAUUAUGGUAUGGGAGAGGCCGUUAAUGGGCCGUUGGGGGCUGAUUUGAGUCCGUUUGCUCAUAUCACCGUUGAACAUCCAAACCCUGACCGUGCGAGCAUAAGGGAUCUCAAGGAUUGGUUCGUGGCAAUGUUUCAACUAGAUGGAAAUAUGUAUUCGGUCACUGUUCAAUGCCUGUAUAUUACGGACAUUAAUCCAGUCAUAUAUGUGCUGCGAGUUGCAGAUCGAACUUAUAAGUGGAGGAAAUGGGUAGAGUGGUGCAGGCGGUGCAAUGUUCAGUUAACUAUUCUGGUCCAGCCAUGUCGAAAAGAGGUGGUCGGUGAGGCAAGCUCAUUGCAGCCGGCCGAGAAAGAGAGCGGUUGCUGUGGUGAUGUGCCACUGGACCAAUUAGAGAUCAGAGAGGAAGGUGGCACUCAGAGGGAGGAAAUUGAUAUUGAUGGUGUCGCUGAUGGUGGAGAAAGAGUCCAAGGGAUUGUUGAAGAUGUAGCAGCCGUUGAUCGCAACACCAUUGAAGAAGAGAAAAACCUGAAUAUGGAGGACAACAUGGACGAUGAAGAUGAAGAAGAAGAUGAUAAUAUGGCCAGGCAGGCUCCUAUUCCUGAAGAAUGGAAUAGGUCAGAUGUAUCGAGUAUGGAAGCUAUGGACAUGCAUGACUCUCGGUACCAAUAUGGUUGCAACAUGAUUCAGCAGGAGCAAUUAUUUCCAAAUAAGCAAGAAUUAAAGGACACGGUGCCACGGUGGGCGGUGAUGUCAUUAAGAGAGGUGUUUGUGAAGGUUUCAAGCCCAUCAAAAUGCAGUGUGAAGUGCAGAGUGCCCGGCUGCACCUUCUAUGUACAUGCAUACAAGCCGAAGAAUGAGAUCCAUUGGAUUGCUUCUAUAGUGCAGAAUCACGGUUGCACGCUACAAAACUUAGGGAAGAGGCAUCAUAACUUGACAGCGUCUAUGAUUGCGAAUGAACUAUGUAGUGAGAUAAUUGAGAAGAGGGACAUUGAGUGCUCCUUUAUCCAGCGAGCAGUUCGUAGACAAUACAAAUAUGAAAUUACAUAUCAACAAGCUUGGCGGGCGAAACAAAUUGCACUCGAGAAGCGCUGGGGCUCAUAUGAGGCAUCAUAUUGCAACCUUCCUCGUGUGCUUGAAAUUCUGAAGGAAAGGAACCCUGGCACGUACACCGCAUUUAAGGAAUCGGUCUACAAUGGACAACCAAAUGUGUUUAGACAUGCUUUCCUAUCUUUGGGCCCUUGCAUUGAGUCAUUCAAGCAUUGUCGACCCGUACUUUGUGUGGACGGGACCUUCUUGACGGGGAAGUAUAAAGGGCAGAUACUAACUGCAAUUGGAGUUGAUGCAAACCAACAGAUACUUCCGUUAGCUUUUGCCUUCGUUGAGAAUGAGAACAAGGAAAGCUGGCUAUGGUUUCUUAGGCAUCUUAAGGUUGGUGUGGUGCAGGAUCGGCCAAACGUUUGUCUCAUUCAUGAUCGACUUGCUGGCUUAUUAUCGGCGGUGAAGUCUUUGCAAGAGGAUGCAGAUGAGCCGUUUCCUUGGCCUGACCUGCAGAGUAGGUGGUGCAUGCAUCAUAUGGAGGUGAAUUUCUAUAAGAAAUUUAGAAGCAAGAAGUUGAUGGAUAUGUUCAAGCUAUUGUGCUCCCAAAACCAAGAGGGCAAGUUUAAUGCACUGUGGAAAGAGUUAGAUGACCUGACUCAGGCUCACAUCAAUGAGAUGAGUAAGAAGUCACCGACAGAUGAAAACCCCAGGGUGACACCUGGACUACCGCCGCUCGGUGAAGGGCUAGAUGAUCCAAAUGUGCGACGGCGAAUGGGCCGGAACAUCAAGUGCUUCUCUCACUGGAUAGAGGCGGAGCCCAAGGAGAAGUGGUCAUUGCUCUUUGACAGAUUAGGUGCUAGAUGGGGCAUCAUGACUUCAAACCUACCAGAGGUUUAUAAUUGGGUUAUAAGAGGUUUGCGUGGUCUGCCUCUAAUUGCAAUCAUAGAAGGUAUGUUGUAUGGCAUCAUAAAGUACUAUCAAAAGCGCCAUGCAGCGGCAGUUCUUCAUAGCGCAACAGUGCAGACACCCUUUUGCAACAAGAUGUAUAAAUGGCUAGAGAAAUCUAUUACUAAGUCAUCACAACACAUAGUGCUUGCAAUGGGUACGCAUGACAACCGUUUUCAGAUAACUGUGAGAGCAAAAGGAGUAGAAAGGGAGACAACCCUUGUCACUCAUGAAGUAAACCUCGGGCGGCAGUUUAAUGGAUGGGUGGAAUGCACAUGUAAUAAGCCAAAGCUUUUACAUGUUCCUUGCUCACAUGUGCUGGCCUCGCUUUCCCAUGUUGGAGUUUCGAGUAUGGGUUAUAUCUCUCCCUUUUACUUGAAAGAAAACGUCGAGCAAACAUGGACUGGUGAGUUUUAUGGAUUCAUGGCACGUGGACAAUUCUCAGUUUACAAUACAGACUUGCCAAUAUGCCUUCCGCCAAUGGACUUGCUUCGUGACUGCCAUGGAAAAGGGGGACGUCCUCAAACAAGGAGAAGCUCGUGGGGGAUCCUGUCUUAACACUAGUUUUCAGGAAGCAGGAGUACGAGGAAGGGCUCCGCAGUGAGAUUAUCAAAACCACCAAACCAGCUGAAUCCUCUCACCAGAGAAAUCAAGGAAAGCGAUGGCACUCCGGCAAGCCCUCGGAUGGUCAGAAGGGGAGGUGAUGCGGCCCGAGUCCAAGCCUUGCUCGCGGCUGAUGCGACAGACUGCUGGCAUCUUCACCCUUGCCUUCUGGGUGCUCGGCCGCCUGCACUACGGUCCAAGAAUAACGGUCCCAAGGAGCCUCAGGUGGGCGUCAUGCGGAGCAAUCUCAACGAGCUCAACAUCAGCCCUGCUCGUGCGGCUCUUCAGCCCGGAGUGCGAACCGCAGAAUAUAGCAGCUUAUGACAAGCAGGAACACAAGGCUGAAUAGCUUGAAUUCAGGCCACAUCACUCUUCUCCAUCAGUAUCAGAUUAUGUGGUUUACUGAUUCAGCCUAGGACAUGCUUUUCUGUCCUACUACUUCCCUGUGCGUUUGCUAUGCAGAAAUUACCCUCGCCUGCAUGGCUGAACCUGUAGGAUCAUGGUUGAUCUGUAUGCAAAUCAAUAUGCUGUCACUCUGACUGAUAACAAUAUGCAAGCAACGAUUUUUCUCU